CUACGGGAGGCAGCAGUGGGGAAUAUUGCACAAUGGGCGCAAGCCUGAUGCAGCCAUGCCGCGUGUGUGAAGAAGGCCUUCGGGUUGUAAAGCACUUUCAGCGAGGAGGAAAGGUUAGUAGUUAAUACCUGCUAGCUGUGACGUUACUCGCAGAAGAAGCACCGGCUAACUCCGUGCCAGCAGCCGCGGUAAUACGGAGGGUGCGAGCGUUAAUCGGAAUUACUGGGCGUAAAGCGUACGCAGGCGGCCAUUUAAGUCAGAUGUGAAAGCCCCGGGCUCAACCUGGGAACUGCAUUUGAAACUGGAUGGCUAGAGUGCGACAGAGGGUGGUAGAAUUUCAGGUGUAGCGGUGAAAUGCGUAGAGAUCUGAAGGAAUACCAAUGGCGAAGGCAGCCACCUGGGUCGACACUGACGCUCAUGUACGAAAGCGUGGGUAGCAAACAGGAUUAGAUACCCUGGUAGUCCACGCCGUAAACGAUGUCUACUAGCAGUUUGACUCUUAAGAGUUGUCUUGCGCAGCUAACGCAUUAAGUAGACCGCCUGGGGAGUACGGCCGCAAGGUUAAAACUCAAAUGAAUUGACGG
Molecule: ribosomal RNA, 584 nt
Filed under: uncultured Gammaproteobacteria bacterium
Lineage: Bacteria; Pseudomonadati; Pseudomonadota; Gammaproteobacteria
Description: bacterial SSU rRNA
Rfam family: Bacterial small subunit ribosomal RNA
Source: RNAcentral